ACCUUCCGAAUUCCCUGCCGAUCCCAUCUGAACAUUGCUCUGAGAGGCUACACAAGGAGGAGGAGUAAAACUGAAACGGACUUGGAUUCUUUUGUGACAAACAAGUCCAUGACAUACAAAA
Molecule: small nucleolar RNA, 121 nt
Filed under: Echinops telfairi (small Madagascar hedgehog)
Lineage: Eukaryota; Metazoa; Chordata; Mammalia; Afrosoricida; Tenrecidae
Description: Small nucleolar RNA SNORA61 (ENSETEG00000026329.1)
Source: RNAcentral